This is a long non-coding RNA of Pyrus x bretschneideri (Chinese white pear), 350 nucleotides long. RefSeq lists it as uncharacterized. The record is from RefSeq and is a predicted model, not a curated record. NCBI's taxonomy places the organism in Eukaryota, Viridiplantae, Streptophyta, Magnoliopsida, Rosales, Rosaceae. The transcript is spliced from 3 exons.
UCUCUCUCUCCCUCACUCUCAAACACACGGCAACAACACCAAUUCUUCAAAACUUCACGGAUCGACGGAAAUAAAAUCACCAUCUUCUUCGUUUCGACGAUACGAGUCCAACCAUACCAAUUUCAGGACUUUUCAAGCUUAUAGGAAGCUUCUUGAGGUCCUAAGGAGGCUUGGAGUAGUUCGUUGGAAGUGUUUGGACGUAAGAACACGGAGAACGACAAGUUCAAAGUUUGGCCGGAGCUUUCGAGGCUUUUUCCGGCGAAUCCACGGCGAGUUAGGGGUCGAGGCAGAAAUUCCGGCAAAACACCCACCUCCGGCGAAACCAGUCCGGCGAUGCGAGGAAGAAGACG